GCCACCGUAGCUCAGCUGGUAGAGCAACUGAUUUGUAAUCAGUCGGUCGGGGGUUCGAGUCCCUUCGGUGGCU
This 73-nucleotide transfer RNA is filed under the name Fidelibacterota bacterium. RNAcentral's name for it is "tRNA-Thr". It matches the Rfam family "tRNA". From Rfam's summary of the family: Transfer RNA (tRNA) molecules are approximately 80 nucleotides in length. Their secondary structure includes four short double-helical elements and three loops (D, anti-codon, and T loops). The record is from RNAcentral. Lineage: Bacteria; Pseudomonadati; Fidelibacterota.